Non-coding RNA from Phrynosoma platyrhinos (Desert horned lizard), 72 nucleotides. Lineage: Eukaryota; Metazoa; Chordata; Lepidosauria; Squamata; Phrynosomatidae. The record is from the annotation of a GenBank genome assembly.
GCCAGUGUGGUGUAGUGGUUUGAGCCCUGGACUAGGACUCUGGAGAUCAGGGUUCGAUUUCCCGCUCAGCCA